AAACUUUAAACAACGGAUCUGUUGGAUCAUCGAUGAAGAACGGAGCGAAACGAGAUAAGUAAUGUGAAUUGCAGAAUCCAGUGAAUCAUCGAAUCUUUGAACGCACAUUCCGCCGCCAGCAUUCUGGCGUGCCAUGUUUGUUCGAGCGUC
This 150-nucleotide ribosomal RNA is filed under the name Beauveria vermiconia. RNAcentral's name for it is "5.8S ribosomal RNA". It matches the Rfam family "5.8S ribosomal RNA". Rfam says of the family: 5.8S ribosomal RNA (5.8S rRNA) is a component of the large subunit of the eukaryotic ribosome. The record is from RNAcentral. Lineage: Eukaryota; Fungi; Ascomycota; Sordariomycetes; Hypocreales; Cordycipitaceae.